GUCUUUAAGAUGUUUGUGAUUUAAAAUGUAAGAGACAUUUAUCAGAUGUUUGUACACAGCAGAUGCUUUCCAGACAAACCUUCUCAAAAAGACAUCUUGGAGACCAUCCAGGCUGAAAGUGUUUAAAAACUACAUUUUUACAUACAUUCUAAAUCAUAAACAUCUUAAAAACAUUUUAGAAAUGACUAUUUAACAUCUGACAAGAAACGCCUCAUCAGCCUGAUUUGGACGGUUAUUAUUUCUCAUGGGGACAUAAGCGAUUUUCAACAUUUACAGGGAACACAUGAAUGACGUCACAACCAAGUGGACCGUGUUCCAGUAGAGAAGUCAGAAAAAAAAAAAAU
Long non-coding RNA from Cyprinus carpio carpio, 344 nucleotides. The record is from Ensembl. NCBI's taxonomy places the organism in Eukaryota, Metazoa, Chordata, Actinopteri, Cypriniformes, Cyprinidae.